RNAcentral lists this long non-coding RNA (718 nucleotides) under Mytilus galloprovincialis (Mediterranean mussel). The record is from RNAcentral. Lineage: Eukaryota; Metazoa; Mollusca; Bivalvia; Mytilida; Mytilidae.
CUUGGUUGGUUGGGCGGGGCACCGGACACAUUUUUCAAACUAGAUACCCCAAUGAUGAUUAUGGCCAAGUUUGGUUAAAUUUGGCCCAGUAGUUUCAGAGGAGAAGAUUUUUCUAAAACAUUACUAAGAUUUACGAAAAAUGGUUAAAAAUUGACUAUAAAGGUCAAUAACUCCUAAAGUGGUCAACUGACCAUUUUGGUCAUGUUUGACUUAUUUGUAGAUCUUACUUAGCUGAACAUUAUUGCUGUUUACAGUUUAUCUCUAUCUAUAAUAAUAUUCAAGAUAAUAACCAAAAACAGCAAAAUUUCCUUAAAAUUACCAUUUCAGGGCAGCAACCCAACAACGAAAUGUCCGAUUCAUCUGAAAAUUUCAGGGCAGAUAGAUCUUGACCUGAUGAACAAUAUUACCCCCAUGUCAGAUUUGCUCUAAAUGCUUUGGUUUUUGAGUUAUAAGCCAAAAACUGCAUCUUACCCCUAUGUUCUAUUUUUAGCCAUGGCGGCCAUCUUGGUUGGUUGGGCGGAGCACCGGACACAUUUUUUAAACUAGAUACCCCAAUGAUGAUUGUGGCCAAGUUUGGUUAAAUUUGGCCCAGUAGUUUCAGAGGAGAAGAUUUUUGUAAAAGUUAACGCAGGACGACGACGACGACGGACGACGGACGCCGGACGCCAAGUGAUGAGAAAAGCUCACUUGGCCUUUCGGCCAGGUGAGCUAAAAAGGA